CCUACGGGAGGCAUCAGUGGGGAAUAUUGGACAAUGGGGGCAACCCUGAUCCAGCCAUGCCGCGUGUGUGAAGAAGGCCCUCGGGUUGUAAAGCACUUUCAGUGAGGAAGAACGCCUGGUGGUUAAUACCCAUCAGGAAAGACAUCACUCACAGAAGAAGCACCGGCUAACUCCGUGCCAGCAGCCGCGGUAAUACGGAGGGUGCGAGCGUUAAUCGGAAUUACUGGGCGUAAAGCGCGCGUAGGUGGCUUGAUAAGCCGGUUGUGAAAGCCCCGGGCUCAACCUGGGAACGGCAUCCGGAACUGUCGAGCUAGAGUGCAGGAGAGGAAGGUAGAAUUCCCGGUGUAGCGGUGAAAUGCGUAGAGAUCGGGAGGAAUACCAGUGGCGAAGGCGGCCUCCUGGACUGACACUGACACUGAGGUGCGAAAGCGUGGGUAGCAAACAGGAUUAGAUACCCUAGUAGUC
This 465-nucleotide ribosomal RNA is filed under the name Vreelandella stevensii. Its description in RNAcentral is "partial 16S ribosomal RNA". It matches the Rfam family "Bacterial small subunit ribosomal RNA", at positions 338 to 795 of the family's 1533-position model. Lineage: Bacteria; Pseudomonadati; Pseudomonadota; Gammaproteobacteria; Oceanospirillales; Halomonadaceae. The record is from RNAcentral.